RNAcentral lists this ribosomal RNA (253 nucleotides) under uncultured bacterium. RNAcentral's name for it is "partial 16S ribosomal RNA". It matches the Rfam family "Bacterial small subunit ribosomal RNA", at positions 524 to 776 of the family's 1533-position model. The record is from RNAcentral.
UACGUAGGGGGCAAGCGUUGUCCGGAUUUAUUGGGCGUAAAGAGCGUGUAGGCGGCCAGAUAGGUCCGUUGUGAAAACUCGAGGCUCAACCUCGAGACGCCGAUGGAAACCAUUUGGCUAGAGUCCGGAAGAGGAGAGUGGAAUUCCUGGUGUAGCGGUGAAAUGCGCAGAUAUCAGGAAGAACACCCGUGGCUAAGGCGGCUCUCUAGUACGGUACUGACGCUGAGGCGCGAAAGCGUGGGGAGCAAACAGG